RNAcentral lists this ribosomal RNA (253 nucleotides) under uncultured bacterium. RNAcentral's name for it is "partial 16S ribosomal RNA". It matches the Rfam family "Bacterial small subunit ribosomal RNA", at positions 524 to 776 of the family's 1533-position model. The record is from RNAcentral.
UACGUAGGGCCCAAGCGUUGUUCGGAUUUACUGGGCGUAAAGGGCGCGUAGGCGGCUCGGUACGUCACUUGUGAAAUCUCUGAGCUUAACUCAGAACGGCCAAGUGAUACUGCAGUGCUAGAGUGUGGAAGGGGCAAUCGGAAUUCUUGGUGUAGCGGUGAAAUGCGUAGAUAUCAGGAGGAACACCUGUGGUGUAGACAGCUUACUGGACCAUUUCUGACGCUGAGACACGAAAGCGUGGGGAGCAAACGGG